Molecule: long non-coding RNA, 8410 nt
Filed under: Mytilus galloprovincialis (Mediterranean mussel)
Lineage: Eukaryota; Metazoa; Mollusca; Bivalvia; Mytilida; Mytilidae
Source: RNAcentral
CAAGUUUUCACAUUGAGUACAUUCCCGAUUCAGUUGGGGUAACACAUAUCAAUUAAUUUAAAAUGUAGUGCAUGUCUGUGCUAGUACAUGUUAUUUAUGGUAUUUCCACCUUUUCUAGUGAAGACCUAUUGGUAUUUGUGUCUCAUUAUUAUUAUAUUUGGUUCUUUCCACUUUCUGUGGAAAGACCUAUGUAUAUUUGUAUGAUUAUUAAGGUCUUUCCAUUUUUCGGUGGAAUAGAUAUUUGUAUUUUGUUUUUUACCGUCAAAUUUUGUUCUCGCGUACAAUAUAUUUGUUUCGCCAUAUGUUCGCUCAGAUACUUUUCUUAUAUAUUAUUAAGCAGUUUCUGCGCUAUUUGUUAUCUUCACUCAAUACUAAGUCGAACAAUUUUCUAUGGAAGGAGUUACUUCCUAUUCACUGUUAAUCAAAUUGUGUUGCAUCUCCUUCGUAACAAAAAAGGUACUAGACAAAUUAUUUUUCUAACAUUGUUCGUUUCCCUCAGGAAUUUUUGGCUAAUUGAAUCUAGAUGAUUCGAUGAAAUAUUAUAUGCGAGUAUCUACCUUAACAAAUAUUUGUCGAUAUGUGUUAAUUAACCUUUUAUAAUUAAAACUGUAACCGUAUAUACCCUGGAAGGUUUGUAUUUGAGGCCGCUAUGUUUUUUAUGAGUUUAUGAAACAGAGAACAGAACAAUCAAGGAAAUUAGUGCUGUUAGAUCAUCAUCUACAAAACAGCAUCAAAAUAUAAACAGUAUCAAGUCAUCAGACAACCUUGCGCAAAGUACUUAAGAACAAAUAGUAUCAUUGUAAAUUAUCCGGUUUGAUUAAAGAUGCUCUGCAAAGGAUUUCAAAGCAAAUCACGUGCUUCUCUAGUGUUACACGUCGCGAAGUCAGAUGCAAAAGACGGUCGACUGUAUGUAACUUCAUGUUUUAUGCAAAAACAUGUAUUGGUAAUACAUUCAAUAUCGUCAGUUCUAGUGAACUGUCGAGUAGUUACAGAUGGGUGCACUCCUAACCUGUACAGCAAGUUAACUUGGAAAACCAGUCAUUGACUGGUCAAAGUUAACCUGUGACCGAAUAUAGGACUGUCUGACCAGUCCUAGGACCAAAAUCUAGUUAACUUGAAAAGCGACUUGGACCUAGGACUGUUUUUAUGUCUGCCAAAAGUUAACUUGGAAACAGGUCCGCUUUGAUAAAGUUCUUCGAACCAGUCCUGUCAUAAGUUAACAUAAGUUAACUUCGGACCAAGUCCUGUCAUAAAGUUAACAUAAGUUAACUUGGAAAACCGGUCCUGCCACAAAGUUAAUUCUGCUUGAACAAAUCCGAUCAAAACCAGACCUGUUCCAAGUUAACUUUUGACUGGUCUGGUCAACACUAAGUUAACUUGUAACCAGGACCGCUCUUGUUGAUUUAAAAAAAAAUAUUUUUAUAUCUUUGUUUCGUAGUAGAAACAUCGAAAAUAAAGUAAUUUGAAAAUUAAUACUUCCGUUUUAUGAACAGGAUUAAACACAAAUAAUUGAAAAUAAGUACGCACAGAACGUAACACAAAUUUAUCUGUGAUCUGACAAUCUAUCUAUUAUAAAAACGAUCUCGGUUACAAUGAUAACAGGCACUGAAUAUAUAUAUAUUCCGAGAUCAAAUCAAUCAUAUAUGUAUAUUUUUGAAAGAAGAAUAUUUGAUGUUAGGUGAUACGUCCUUGUUAGUUAUACAUCCUUGAACUAUGCAGCCACAAUCAGCAAUAGUUUAAUUCAUUUAAAUAAUGACUACAAAUUUUUGUUCGCUCAAAUUAAGGGUGCCAGCAUGUGUUCUUUUUACUUAAAAUACUGAUACGUAACAAAAAUUUCAGUAGUUUUGAUGCCUCCAGUUGACUUGUACAACAAAAUUAUUUGACCGCAUCACCAAAACUGACCAUAUAUGCACUUUAAUUUGUAAAUCUAUAUACCCGCAUAGUAAAUCAGCAAUAUUUUUAUGUCAGAGUCAAUGUAUAAUACAAUCCUGACAAUGGACAGCAAAUUGGCAAUAUAUACAAAAAUUUUGGUUCGCAUAAAUUAGGAUACCAGCAUGUCCUCAUUUUAUUCAAAUUAUUGAUACGUAACAAAAUUUCAGUAGUUUUGAUACCUCCAGCUGACUUGUACAACAAAAUUAGUUGACCGCAUCCACCAAAACUGACCAUAUGUGCACUUUAAUUUGUAAAUCUAUAUACCCUCAUAGUAAAUCAGCCAUAUUUUUUAUGUCAGGAUUCAAUGUAUAAUACAAUCAUGACAAUGGACAGCAAAAUUGCAAAUAUAAUAACAAAAAAUUUUGGUUCGCAUAAAUUUAGGAUACCAGCAUGUCCUCAUUUUAUUCAAAAUAUUGAUACGUAACAAAAUUUCAGUAGUUUUGAUACCUCCAGCUGACUUGUACAACAAAAUUAUUUGACCACAUUACCAAAACUGACCAUAUGUGAACUUUAAAUUGUAAAUCUAUAUACCAGCAUAGUAAAUCAGCCUUAUUUUUAAUGUCAGGAUUCAAUGUAUAAUACAAUCAUGACAAUGGACAGCAAUAUUGCAAUAUAAUAACAACAAAUUUUUGUUCGCCUAAAUUAAGGGUACCAGCAUGUCCUCUUUUUACUUAAAAUACUGAUACGUAACAAAAUUUCAGUAGUUUUGAUACCUCCAGUUGACUUGUACAACAAAAUUAUUUGACCGCAUCCACCAAAACUGACCAUAUGUGCACUUUAAUUUGUAAAUCUAUAUACCCGCAUAGUAAAUCAGCCAGGAUUCAAUAUAAUACAAUCAUGACAAUGGCAAUAUUGCAAUAUAAUAAAACAAAUUUUGGUUCGCAUAAAUUUAGGAUACCAGCAUGUCCUCAUUUUAUUCAAAAUAUUGAUACGUAACAAAAUUUCAGUAGUUUUGAUACCUCCAGCUGACUUGUACAACAAAAUUAUUUGACCACAUUACCAAAACUGACCAUAUGUGAACUUUAAAUUGUAAAUCUAUAUACCAGCAUAGUAAAUCAGCCUUAUUUUUAAUGUCAGGAUUCAAUGUAUAAUACAAUCAUGACAAUGGACAGCAAUAUUGCAAUAUAAUAACAACAAAUUUUUGUUCGCCUAAAUUAAGGGUACCAGCAUGUCCUCUUUUUACUUAAAAUACUGAUACGUAACAAAAUUUCAGUAGUUUUGAUACCUCCAGUUGACUUGUACAACAAAAUUAUUUGACCGCAUUACCAAAACUGACCAUAUGUGCACUUUAAAUUGUAAAUCUAUAUACCCGCAUAGUAAAUCAGCCAUAUUUUUUGAUGUCAGGAUUCAAUGUAUAAUACAAUCAUGACAAUGGACAGCAAAAUUGCAAUAUAAUAACAAAAAAUUUUGGUUCGCAUAAAUUUAAGGAUACCAGCAUGUCCUCAUUUUAUUCAAAAUAUUGAUACGUAACAAAAUUUCAGUAGUUUUGAUACCUCCAGCUGACUUGUACAACAAAAUUAUUUGACCACAUUACCAAAACUGACCAUAUGUGAACUUUAAAUUGUAAAUCUAUAUACCAGCAUAGUAAAUCAGCCUUAUUUUUAAUGUCAGGAUUCAAUGUAUAAUACAAUCAUGACAAUGGACAGCAAUAUUGCAAUAUAAUAACAACAAAUUUUUGUUCGCCUAAAUUAAGGGUGCCAGCAUGUCCUCUUUUUAUUCAAAAUACUGAUACGUAACAAAAUUUCAGUAGUUUUGAUGCCUCCAGUUGACUUGUACAACAAAAUUAUUUGACCGCAUCCACCAAAACUGACCAUAUAUGCACUUUAAUUUGUAAAUCUAUAUACCCGCAUAGUAAAUCAGCCAUAUUUUUUAUGUCAGGAUUCAAUGUAUAAUACAAUCAUGACAAUGGACAGCAAAAUUGCAAUAUAAUAACAAAAAAUUUUGGUUCGCAUAAAUUUAGGAUACCAGCAUGUCCUCAUUUUAUUCAAAAUAUUGAUACGUAACAAAAUUUCAGUAGUUUUGAUACCUCCAGCUGACUUGUACAACAAAAUUAUUUGACCACAUUACCAAAACUGACCAUAUGUGAACUUUAAAUUGUAAAUCUAUAUACCAGCAUAGUAAAUCAGCCUUAUUUUUAAUGUCAGGAUUCAAUGUAUAAUACAAUCAUGACAAUGGACAGCAAUAUUGCAAUAUAAUAACAACAAAUUUUUGUUCGCCUAAAUUAAGGGUGCCAGCAUGUCCUCUUUUUACUUAAAAUACUGAUACGUAACAAAAUUUCAGUAGUUUUGAUGCCUCCAGUUGACUUGUACAACAAAAUUAUUUGACCGCAUCCACCAAAACUGACCAUAUAUGCACUUUAAUUUGUAAAUCUAUAUACCCGCAUAGUAAAUCAGCCAUAUUUUUUAUGUCAGGAUUCAAUGUAUAAUACAAUCAUGACAAUGGACAGCAAUAUUGCAAUAUAAUAACAACAAAUUUUUGUUCGCAUAAAUUUAGGAUACCAGCAUGUCCUCAUUUUAUUCAAAAUAUUGAUACGUAACAAAAUUUCAGUAGUUUUGAUACCUCCAGUUGACUUGUACAACAAAAUUAUUUGACCACAUUACCACCAAAACUGACCAUAUGUGCACUUUAAUUUGUAAAUCUAUAUACCCGCAUAGUUAAUCAGCCAUAUUUUUUAUGUCAGGAUUCAAUGUAUAAUACAAUCAUGACAAUGGACAGCAAUAUUGCAAUAUAAUAACAACAAAUUUUUGUUCACCUAAAUUAAGGGUGCCAGCAUGUCCUCUUUUUACUUAAAAUACUGAUACGUAACAAAAUUUCAGUAGUUUUGAUUGCCUCCAGUUGACUUGUACAACAAAAUUAUUUGACCGCAUCCACCAAAACUUGACCAUAUAUGCACUUUAAUUUGUAAAUCUAUAUACCCGCAUAGUAAAUCAGCCAUAUUUUUUAUGUCAGGAUUCAAUGUAUAAUACAAUCAUGACAAUGGACAGCAAUAUUGCAAUAUAAUAACAACAAAUUUUUGUUCGCAUAAAUUUAGGAUACCAGCAUGUCCUCAUUUUAUUCAAAAUAUUGAUCAUAACAAAAUUUCAGUAGUUUUGAUACCUCCAGUUGACUUGUACAACAAAAUUAUUUGACCGCAUCCACCAAAACUGACCAUUAUGUGCACUUUAAUUUGUAAAUCUAUAUACCCGCAUAGUUAAUCAGCCAUAUUUUUAUGCCAGGAAUCAAUGUAUAAUACAAUCAUGACAAUGGACAGCAAUAUUGCAAUAUAAUAACAACAAAUUUUUGUUCACAUAAAUUUAGGAUACCAGCAUGUCCUCAUUUUAUUCAAAAUAUUGAUACGUAACAAAAUUUCAGUAGUUUUGAUACCUCCAGCUGACUUGUACAACAAAAUUAUUUGACCGCAUUACCAAAACUGACCAUAUGUGCACUUUAAUUUGUAAAUCUAUAUACACCAUGAGUACCCGCAUAGUAUUAAUCAGCCAUAUUUUUAUGUCAGGAAUCAUUGUAUAAUAUAAUCAUGACAAUGGACAGCAAUAUUGCAAUUUAAUAACAACAAAUUUUUGUUCGCAUAAAUUUAGGAUACCAGCGUGUCCUCCUUUUAUUCAAAAUAUUGAUACGUAACAAAAUUUCAGUAGUUUUAAUACCUCAUGCUGACUUGGAAAACAAAACUAUUUGACCAAAACUGAUCAUAUGUGCACUUUUAUUUGCAAAUCUAUAUACCCGCAUACCAUUGUACCGAGCGCCUUAAUGUCUUCUCCUGGCGCUCCUGUUCACAUUUUAGUAGGACCGUAAAUGUACACGUAAUCAAUAAUAUUGGAAAACCAUUAAUGCAAAAAAUAUUCUGAAUAAAUUGAGAAUGUCAGAAUUUCAUCUCUUUAUUUAUAAUAACAGUCACAUCAUAUAUAGGAGUUCAUGAUGGUGUACGUGUAAAACAAAACUAUUAUGCCACAUCAUCAAAGUACCAACACUGACAUGUCUGAAUUCAUUUGUACUAUUUACAAUGAUUUAAUAAAAAAAAAGUAUACGAGGUUCUCUUCUUGGAAUCUAUUAUGUCGGUUGAUUGAUUUUGUUUAUAGUUAAACGUCAAGUGGCAACUAUUUCAUUAAAGUGCGCAUUGAGUAUAUAAUUUUAGGACGUCCCAUAUAAAUAUCGGCAAUGACAAAUCUCUCGAUAAAUCUGACGAAUUUGACGAGAUUGUUGAUAGUUUUACCACAUCGUAUGCUUACGGACACUGUACAAUUUCUGUUAGAAUAUUCUGCGGGAAAUAGAAUAGUAAAUCCAAUGCAAACAAGUUGAAUAUCAAUGAAAUAUCCAUGCAAGUAUAAAUUUAUGCAUAAAGUAAAAUUUAGGAAGGGACAGGUAAACAACGGGGAACGAAGUAACGUAGACAAUGUUGCCGAUAUCCCGUGAUAUAAGAAUAUUGUUCCGAUGCGUUGGAUAACCUUUCUAUCCGCCUUCUAAUAAAAAAAAACUCUCUGUGAUCGUAUAGCCAUUUUUUAUUUAUAUAAAAAUACAUGUAUAUAUCAAAUAAAAGAGAGCAUUUGUAUAAUAUCUAGUAGAGUCUAGCGAGUAAAUAAUAAAUGAUAUCUGUGGAAAAACAAUGCGAAUGUUGUUUACAUAUUUUAAUGAAAGCUCAAGUCUGAUAUGAAAACUCUUAUAACGAUAAUCUGUCAUAAGCAGACCUGUCCUCAGGUCUGGUCAAUAACAGACUUGUCCACAGGUCUGGUCAAAAGCAGACCUGUCCUCAGGUCUGGUCAGGAGCAGACCUGUCCACAGGUCUGGUCUGAGGCAGACCUGUCCUUAGGACUGGUCAAAAGCAGACUUGUCCACAGGUCUGGUCUGGGGCAGACCUGUCCUCAGGACUGGUCAAAAGCAGACUUGUCCACAGGUCUGGUCCGGAGCAGACUUGUCGAUAGGUCUGCAGCAGUCCUAAAAAAGCAGACCGUAGGUCUGGUCCACCAACGACGAAGUUAACUUGCUUGACUGCUUAAAAAUUCUCAAGUUAACUUAGAAAGCAGUCAACAAGUUAACUCUAAGUUAACCUUUGUCAAGGUUAGGACCGCACCCAUCUGUAGAUACUAAAACAUUAUUAGGUAUUGAUAAUACAUUACUUUGAUUAGGUAUAUGAUGGUGAGAUUUCAAGAGAUACAUACCUUGCUGCAUUGACGGGAGGACCUAAAGGAGGCAUAGAAUUUACUUCAACUUCGAAUACGAUGAUCAUUCGCUUCUAUUCUGAUUCUUCUAUAGUCUAUUCUGGGUUCAAUGUCAGUUAUCAAACAUUACAGUAAGUGACAGCUAGUCCUUUCAAAUGAAUGAUAUACACGUUCAAAUGAAAUAGUCACAUAUACAUUUUGUAAUUCAGAAGCAUUUCAAACUAGAAAAGUCAAUAGGCAUGAUUGGGAAUCGGAUGAGUAGUCCAGAAUGUGCCAACGAAUCGAAUAUCGUAUAAAUUUAGAAAUAAAACAUCUACUGAAAAUGUAACCAACAAGAUCAACACGUCUCUUGCAUAUUAUAAUGAUGUUUUUGUUUUCUACUGACCACAUAUAUAUAAACGUAGAAUGAGUACCAUCUUGUUAUAGAAGUAAGAGAGAGGCAAACGAUACAAGAGAGACAUUCAAACACAUAAGUCUGAUCAACAGAUAACACAAAGGCUAACAAAGAAAAAGACCAACAGACAAAUAAAAGUACACUUAACACAACAUACCAAACUAAAGACUAAACAACUAUAACCCUUCCGUAACCUGGGGGUAAUUUCAGGUGCUCCGGAGAGGUUAGCAGAUUCUGCUGUACACGUGUAACCCGUCGUGUUGCUUUGUUCGAAGAUUAACCGUUAUAGACAUUUGAUUCCGAGGCACUCUUAACAUGAAAAAAAAUAGUGGAUACAUUUAACAGUCUUGAAAAGUUAUGCAUCAUAAAUUAGCAAUUAGAAUAUGUUAAAUUUGGUACUUCUCAUUUGAGUUUAAGUUAUGAGUAUGAAUUUCGUUUCUCUUUAAUUUCUUUUUUUCAACAUGUUCAGGUGCCUGACAGUGAUUAACUUUUUUAUGAGAUAACGUUAGGUAGAAAUUUUAUAGAAUUAUCAAAAUUAUAUAUUUGAUGCCUAUACCAUUUGAUUACCUUUUUAUUAAACGCCUACAACAUAAAUCUUUUAUGUAAAUGCUAUUUUGUAACGGUGUAUCCAACGCUUUCACGAAUUCAUGUUAUCAAUUAUUAUUAUUUAUGAAUUAUAAUUAUUCUCAUUUCAAUUCAUGUCUCUUUUGCAGAUGAUUCUCUUACACAACAUGCACAAGUGGAAACACUAUAGGAAGGAAAAUGAUAAUAAAAUAUGUUACCUGCAGCAAACUUCGUUUACCGAAUUUAUAAUCAAUAGUUUGAAUUUUAGUUUAGAACAAUCACUGCUACGUAUAAAAAGAAUGAUACUGUAAAUUCAGAAAUUAUAGCGUUCAUUUAUUAUUGCAAUUUUGUAAUUUUAGACUGAAAGGCG